This 962-nucleotide ribosomal RNA is filed under the name Bacillus sp. (in: firmicutes). RNAcentral describes it as "bacterial SSU rRNA". It matches the Rfam family "Bacterial small subunit ribosomal RNA", at positions 52 to 995 of the family's 1533-position model. The record is from RNAcentral. Lineage: Bacteria; Bacillati; Bacillota; Bacilli; Caryophanales; Bacillaceae.
UACAUGCAAGUCGAGCGGACAGAUGGGAGCUUGCUCCCUGAUGUUAGCGGCGGACGGGUGAGUAACACGUGGGUAACCUGCCUGUAAGACUGGGAUAACUCCGGGAAACCGGGGCUAAUACCGGAUGGUUGUUUGAACCGCAUGGUUCAAACAUAAAAGGUGGCUUCGGCUACCACUUACAGAUGGACCCGCGGCGCAUUAGCUAGUUGGUGAGGUAACGGCUCACCAAGGCAACGAUGCGUAGCCGACCUGAGAGGGUGAUCGGCCACACUGGGACUGAGACACGGCCCAGACUCCUACGGGAGGCAGCAGUAGGGAAUCUUCCGCAAUGGACGAAAGUCUGACGGAGCAACGCCGCGUGAGUGAUGAAGGUUUUCGGAUCGUAAAGCUCUGUUGUUAGGGAAGAACAAGUACCGUUCGAAUAGGGCGGUACCUUGACGGUACCUAACCAGAAAGCCACGGCUAACUACGUGCCAGCAGCCGCGGUAAUACGUAGGUGGCAAGCGUUGUCCGGAAUUAUUGGGCGUAAAGGGCUCGCAGGCGGUUUCUUAAGUCUGAUGUGAAAGCCCCCGGCUCAACCGGGGAGGGUCAUUGGAAACUGGGGAACUUGAGUGCAGAAGAGGAGAGUGGAAUUCCACGUGUAGCGGUGAAAUGCGUAGAGAUGUGGAGGAACACCAGUGGCGAAGGCGACUCUCUGGUCUGUAACUGACGCUGAGGAGCGAAAGCGUGGGGAGCGAACAGGAUUAGAUACCCUGGUAGUCCACGCCGUAAACGAUGAGUGCUAAGUGUUAGGGGGUUUCCGCCCCUUAGUGCUGCAGCUAACGCAUUAAGCACUCCGCCUGGGGAGUACGGUCGCAAGACUGAAACUCAAAGGAAUUGACGGGGGCCCGCACAAGCGGUGGAACAUGUGGUUUAAUUCAAAGCAACGCAAAAAACCUUACCAGGUCUUGACAUCCUCUGAC